AGGGUGUGGGGGCCCCUCCCGCGGACAGCAUCAGCUCCGCGCCUUGGCAGACGGCUCACUCGGGCUCGGCGCGCGCCCUGCGAGGUUGCGCUGUGUUCUCAUUUCACUAGUUUGGAGGCUUAGGCAGAGAGGCGAAGACAUUAGUCCAAGGUCACGCAGCUGGUAAGUGGGAGCGCCCAGCAUGGGACCCAGCACCGGCCCGCUGCAGAGCCUGCGUUCCACCCACCCCGCCGCCGCCUCCUGCGGGAGGGGGAGGUGGUCGGCAGGGCUCGUCGCCGGGACCACCGGGGCUCCAGGCUGGGUGCGACCACUAGCCCUUUGAAUGACCUCGGGCUUAACCUCUCCGCCGCUCUGGGCCUUGUUUCUCCACCUGUGAAAUGAGGCCCUUUGGAUGGGGAGUUGGGUAAGGACUAGAUAGCAUAUUUCCCCUUGGAGGAAACCUCACCCGGUUUUCUGGGCCACCCCCUCAGGGUCUCCACCACCCAGCUCCAUGCUUCGAAUCCUGCUCUCUGCCCAGACUUCCCCUGCUCGGCUGUCUGGUUUGCUGCUCAUCCCGCCAGUACAGCCCUGUUGUUUGGGACCCAGCAAGUCCGGGGACCGGCCUUUUGGAGGAGGCCCUGUGCAAGGCCUUCAACGGCUUCUGGAGCAGGCACGGAGCCCUGGGGAGCUGCUGCGAUGG
Molecule: long non-coding RNA, 679 nt
Filed under: Rattus norvegicus (Norway rat)
Lineage: Eukaryota; Metazoa; Chordata; Mammalia; Rodentia; Muridae
Description: long non-coding RNA NONRATT020128
Source: RNAcentral